AACGAACGCUGGCGGCAUGCCUAACACAUGCAAGUCGAACGAGACCUUCGGGUCUAGUGGCGCACGGGUGCGUAACGCGUGGGAACCUGCCCUUAGGUUCGGAAUAACUCCCCGACAGGGGUGCUAAUACCGGAUAAUGUCUUCGGACCAAAGAUUUAUCGCCUUUGGAUGGGCCCGCGUUGGAUUAGCUAGUUGGUAGGGUAAAAGCCUACCAAGGCGACGAUCCAUAGCUGGUCUGAGAGGAUGAUCAGCCACACUGGGACUGAGACACGGCCCAGACUCCUACGGGAGGCGGCAGUGGGGAAUAUUGGACAAUGGGCGAAAGCCUGAUCCAGCAAUGCCGCGUGAGUGAUGAAGGCCUUAGGGUUGUAAAGCUCUUUUACCCGGGAUGAUAAUGACAGUACCGGGAGAAUAAGCUCCGGCUAACUCCGUG
Molecule: ribosomal RNA, 433 nt
Filed under: uncultured bacterium
Lineage: Bacteria
Description: partial 16S ribosomal RNA
Rfam family: Bacterial small subunit ribosomal RNA
Source: RNAcentral